CGGGAACUCAAAGGAGACUGCCAGUGAUAAACUGGAGGAAGGUGGGGAUGACGUCAAGUCAUCAUGGCCCUUACGGCCAGGGCUACACACGUGCUACAAUGGCAUAUACAAAGAGAAGCGACCUCGCGAGAGCAAGCGGACCUCAUAAAGUAUGUCGUAGUCCGGAUUGGAGUCUGCAACUCGACUCCAUGAAGUCGGAAUCGCUAGUAAUCGUAGAUCAGAAUGCUACGGUGAAUACGUUCCCGGGCCUUGUACACACCGCCCGUCACACCAUGGGAGUGGGUUGCAAAAGAAGUAGGUAGCUUAACCUUCGGGAGGGCGCUUACCACUUUGUGAUUCAUGACUGGGGUGAAGUCGUAACAAGGUAGCCGUAGGGGAACCUGCGGCUGGAUCACCUCCUUACCUUAAAGAA
This 412-nucleotide ribosomal RNA is filed under the name Acinetobacter baumannii. RNAcentral's name for it is "bacterial SSU rRNA". It matches the Rfam family "Bacterial small subunit ribosomal RNA", at positions 1132 to 1533 of the family's 1533-position model. Lineage: Bacteria; Pseudomonadati; Pseudomonadota; Gammaproteobacteria; Moraxellales; Moraxellaceae. The record is from RNAcentral.